UUGCAGGUGGAAAUAUGUCUGCUCCUCAUUCCUUUGGGAGCAGGAAUACAUGACAUGCUACAUUAAAAAGGGGUUCAGGGCUGCCAACUUUACAGUAGAGCAGUAAUAUAUUUCUCCUACAUAA
This 124-nucleotide small nucleolar RNA is filed under the name Myotis davidii. RNAcentral describes it as "Small nucleolar RNA U109". It matches the Rfam family "Small nucleolar RNA U109". Lineage: Eukaryota; Metazoa; Chordata; Mammalia; Chiroptera; Vespertilionidae. The record is from Rfam by way of RNAcentral.